UACGUAGGUGGCAAGCGUUGUCCGGAUUUACUGGGCGUAAAGGGAGCGUAGGCGGCUAAUUAAGUCAGUGGUUAAAGGUAGCAGCUUAACUGUUUUACAUGCCAUUGAUACUGGUUAGCUUGAGUUGACGGAAGGCAGAUAGAAUUUCUGGUGUAGCGGUGAAAUGCUUAGAUACCAGAAGGAAUACCGAUUGCGAAGGCAGUCUGCUGCAGUCACACUGACGCUGAGGCUCGAAGGUGCGGGGAUCAAACAGG
RNAcentral lists this ribosomal RNA (254 nucleotides) under uncultured bacterium. Its description in RNAcentral is "partial 16S ribosomal RNA". It matches the Rfam family "Bacterial small subunit ribosomal RNA", at positions 524 to 776 of the family's 1533-position model. The record is from RNAcentral.